CAACAACUCCCACGACAACCGGAACCACCACCAUGCCGACCACUGCCGCGACGUCAACCACUACUGCAACGACUACAACUCCCACGACAACCGGAACCACCACCAUGCCGACCACUGCCGCGAUGUCAACAGCUACUGCAACGGCUACAACUCCCACGACAACCCAAAGCACAACAGCUCCAACCACUACCGCGACGUCAACUACUACAGCAACGACAACAACUCCCACGACAACCCAAAGCACAACAGCUCCAACCACUACCGCGACGUCAACUACUACUGCAACGACAACAACUCCCACGACAACCGGAACCACCACCACGCCGACCACUGCUGCGGCAUCACCCACUACCGCGACUUCAACUACUACUGAAAUGACUAGAACUCCCACGACAACCGAAACAACCACCACCCUGACAAGUACCACGAUGUCAACUACUUCCGAAACGACAACAACUCCCACGACAACCGGAACCACCACCAUGCCGACGACUGCCGCGACGUCAACCACUACUGCAACGACUACAACUCCCACGACAACCGGAACCACCACCAUGCCGACCACUGCCGCGAUGUCAACAGCUUCUGCAACGGCUACAACUCCCACGACAACCCAAAGCACAACAGCUCCAACCACUACCGCGACGUCAACUACUACAGCAACGACAACAACUCCCACGACAACCCAAAGCACAACAGCUCCAACCACUACCGCGACGUCAACUACUACUGCAACGACAACAACUCCCACGACAACCCAAAGCAUCACCAUGCCAACCACUACCACGACGUCAACUACUCCAGCAACGACAACAACUCCCACAACAACCGGAACCACCACCAUGCUGACCACUGCCGCGACGUCAACCACUACUGCAACGACAACAACUCCCACGACAACCCAAAGCACAACAGCUCCAACCACUACCGCGACGUCAACUACUACAGCAACGACUACAACUCCCAUGACAACCGGAACCACCACCACGCCGACCACUGCUGCGGCAUCACCGAAUACCGCGACUUCAACUACUACUGAAACGACUAGAACUCCCACGACAACCGAAACAACCACCACCCUGACAAGUACCACGACGUCAACAGCUACUCCAACGACUACAACUCCCACGACAACCGAAACCACCACCAUGCCGACCACUGCCGCGACGUUAACUACUACUGCAACGACGAGAACUCCCACGACAACCGAAAGCAUAACCAUGACAACCACUACCGCGACGUCAACUACUACAGCAAUGACAACAACUCCCACGACAACCCAAAGCACAACAGCUCCAACCACUACCGCGACGUCAACUACUACUGCAACGACUACAACUCCCACGACAACCGGAACCACCACCAUGCCGACCACUGCCGCGACGUCAACCACUACUGCAACGACUACAACUCCCACGACAACCGGAACCACCACCAUGCCGGCCACUGCCGCGAUGUCAACAGCUACUGCAACGACAACAACUCCCACGAGAACCCAAAGCACAACAGCUCCAACCACUACCGCGACGUCAACUACUACAGCAACGACUACAACUCCCAUGACAACCGGAACCACCACCACGCCGACCACUGCUGCGGCAUCACCGAAUACCGCGAUUUCAACUACUACUGAAACGACUAGAACUCCCACGACAACCGAAACAACCACCAUGCCGACCACUGCCGCGAUGUCAACAGCUACUGCAACGGCUACAACUCCCACGACAACCCAAAGCACAACAGCUCCAACCACUUCUGCGACGUCAACUACUACAGCAACGACAACAACUCCCACGACAACCCAAAGCACAACAGCUCCAACCACUACCGCGACGUCAACUACUACUGCAACGACUACAACUCCCACGACAACCGGAACCACCACCACGCCGACCACUGCUGCGGCAUCACCCACUACCGCGACUUCAACUACUACUGAAAUGACUAGAACUCCCACGACAACCGAAACAACCACCACCCUGACAAGUACCACGAUGUCAACUACUUCCGAAACGACAACAACUCCCACGACAACCGGAACCACCACCAUGCCGACGACUGCCGCGACGUCAACCACUACUGCAACGACUACAACUCCCACGACAACCGGAACCACCACCAUGCUGACCACUGCCGCGACGUCAACCACUAUUGCAACCACUACAACUCCCACGACAACCGGAACCACCACCAUGUCGACCACUGCCGCGAUGUCAACAGCUACAGCAACGACAACAACUCCCACAACAACCGAAAGCAUAACCACGCCAACCAGUACCGCGAGAUCAACUACUCCCGCAACGACAACAACUCCCACGACAACCGGAACAACCACCAUGCCGGCCACUGCCGCGAUGUCAACAGCUACUGCAACGGCUACAACUCCCACGACAACCCAAAGCACAACAGCUCCAACCACUGCCGCGACGUCAACUACUACAGCAACGACAACAACUCCCACGACAACCCAAAGCACAACAGCUCCAACCACUACCGCGACGUCAACUACUACUGCAACGACUACAACUCCCACGACAACCGGAACCACCACCACGCCGACCACUGCUGCGGCAUCACCCACUACCGCGACUUCAACUACUACUGAAAUGACUAGAACUCCCACGAUAACCGAAACAACCACCACCCUGACAAGUACCACGAUGUCAACUACUUCCGAAACGACAACAACUCCCACGACAACCGGAACCACCACCAUGCCGACGACUGCCGCGACGUCAACCACUACUGCAACGACUACAACUCCCACGACAACCGGAACCACCACCAUGCCGACCACUGCCGCGAUGUCAACAGCUACUGCAACGGCUACAACUCCCACGACAACCCAAAGCACAACAGCUCCAACCACUUCUGCGACGUCAACUACUACAGCAACGACAACAACUCCCACGACAACCCAAAGCACAACAGCUCCAACCACUACCGCGACGUCAACUACUACUGCAACGACAACAACUCCCACGACAACCGGAACCACCACCACGCCGACCACUGCUGCGGCAUCACCCACUACCGCGACUUCAACUACUACUGAAAUGACUAGAACUCCCACGACAACCGAAACAACCACCACCCUGACAAGUACCACGAUGUCAACUACUUCCGAAACGACAACAACUCCCACGACAACCGGAACCACCACCAUGCCGACGACUGCCGCGACGUCAACCACUACUGCAACGACUACAACUCCCACGACAACCGGAACCACCACCAUGCCGACCACUGCCGCGAUGUCAACAGCUUCUGCAACGGCUACAACUCCCACGACAACCCAAAGCACAACAGCUCCAACCACUACCGCGACGUCAACUACUACAGCAACGACAACAACUCCCACGACAACCCAAAGCACAACAGCUCCAACCACUACCGCGACGUCAACUACUACUGCAACGACAACAACUCCCACGACAACCCAAAGCAUCACCAUGCCAACCACUACCACGACGUCAACUACUCCAGCAACGACAACAACUCCCACAACAACCGGAACCACCACCAUGCUGACCACUGCCGCGACGUCAACCACUACUGCAACGACAACAACUCCCACGACAACCCAAAGCACAACAGCUCCAACCACUACCGCGACGUCAACUACUACAGCAACGACUACAACUCCCAUGACAACCGGAACCACCACCACGCCGACCACUGCUGCGGCAUCACCGAAUACCGCGACUUCAACUACUACUGAAACGACUAGAACUCCCACGACAACCGAAACAACCACCACCCUGACAAGUACCACGACGUCAACAGCUACUCCAACGACUACAACUCCCACGACAACCGAAACCACCACCAUGCCGACCACUGCCGCGACGUUAACUACUACUGCAACGACGAGAACUCCCACGACAACCGAAAGCAUAACCAUGACAACCACUACCGCGACGUCAACUACUACAGCAAUGACAACAACUCCCACGACAACCCAAAGCACAACAGCUCCAACCACUACCGCGACGUCAACUACUACUGCAACGACUACAACUCCCACGACAACCGGAACCACCACCAUGCCGACCACUGCCGCGACGUCAACCACUACUGCAACGACUACAACUCCCACGACAACCGGAACAACCACCAUGCCGGCCACUGCCGCGAUGUCAACAGCUACUGCAACGACAACAACUCCCACGAGAACCCAAAGCACAACAGCUCCAACCACUACCGCGACGUCAACUACUACAGCAACGACUACAACUCCCAUGACAACCGGAACCACCACCACGCCGACCACUGCUGCGGCAUCACCGAAUACCGCGAUUUCAACUACUACUGAAACGACUAGAACUCCCACGACAACCGAAACAACCACCAUGCCGACCACUGCCGCGAUGUCAACAGCUACUGCAACGGCUACAACUCCCACGACAACCCAAAGCACAACAGCUCCAACCACUUCUGCGACGUCAACUACUACAGCAACGACAACAACUCCCACGACAACCCAAAGCACAACAGCUCCAACCACUACCGCGACGUCAACUACUACUGCAACGACUACAACUCCCACGACAACCGGAACCACCACCACGCCGACCACUGCUGCGGCAUCACCCACUACCGCGACUUCAACUACUACUGAAAUGACUAGAACUCCCACGACAACCGAAACAACCACCACCCUGACAAGUACCACGAUGUCAACUACUUCCGAAACGACAACAACUCCCACGACAACCGGAACCACCACCAUGCCGACGACUGCCGCGACGUCAACCACUACUGCAACGACUACAACUCCCACGACAACCGGAACCACCACCAUGCUGACCACUGCCGCGACGUCAACCACUAUUGCAACCACUACAACUCCCACGACAACCGGAACCACCACCAUGUCGACCACUGCCGCGAUGUCAACAGCUACAGCAACGACAACAACUCCCACAACAACCGAAAGCAUAACCACGCCAACCAGUACCGCGAGAUCAACUACUCCCGCAACGACAACAACUCCCACGACAACCGGAACAACCACCAUGCCGGCCACUGCCGCGAUGUCAACAGCUACUGCAACGGCUACAACUCCCACGACAACCCAAAGCACAACAGCUCCAACCACUGCCGCGACGUCAACUACUACAGCAACGACAACAACUCCCACGACAACCCAAAGCACAACAGCUCCAACCACUGCCGCGACGUCAACCACUACUGCAACGACAACAACUCCCACGACAACCCAAAGCAUCACCAUGCCAACCACUACCACGACGUCAACUACUCCAGCAACGACAACAACUCCCACAACAACCGGAACCACCACCAUGCUGACCACUGCCGCGACGUCAACCACUACUGCAACGACAACAACUCCCACGACAACCGGAACCACCACCAUGCUGACCACUGCCGCGACGUCAACCACUACUGCAACGACAACAACUCCCACGACAACCCAAAGCACAACAGCUCCAACCACUACCGCGACGUCAACUACUACAGCAACGACUACAACUCCCAUGACAACCGGAACCACCACCACGCCGACCACUGCUGCGGCAUCACCGAAUACCGCGACUUCAACUACUACUGAAACGACUAGAACUCCCACGACAACCGAAACAACCACCACCCUGACAAGUACCACGACGUCAACAGCUACUCCAACGACUACAACUCCCACGACAACCGAAACCACCACCAUGCCGACCACUGCCGCGACGUUAACUACUACUGCAACGACGAGAACUCCCACGACAACCGAAAGCAUAACCAUGACAACCACUACCGCGACGUCAACUACUACAGCAAUGACAACAACUCCCACGACAACCCAAAGCACAACAGCUCCAACCACUACCGCGACGUCAACUACUACUGCAACGACUACAACUCCCACGACAACCGGAACCACCACCAUGCUGACCACUGCCGCGACGUCAACCACUACUGCAACGACUACAACUCACACGACAACCGGAACAACCACCAUGCCGGCCACUGCCGCGAUGUCAACAGCUACUGCAACGACAACAACUCCCACGAGAACCCAAAGCACAACAGCUCCAACCACUACCGCGACGUCAACUACUACAGCAACGACUACAACUCCCAUGACAACCGGAACCACCACCACGCCGACCACUGCUGCGGCAUCACCGAAUACCGCGAUUUCAACUACUACUGAAACGACUAGAACUCCCACGACAACCGAAACAACCACCACCCUGACAAGUACCACGACGUCAACAGCUACUCCAACGACUACAACUCCCACGACAACCGAAACCACCACCAUGCCGACCACUGCCGCGACGUUAACCACUACUGCAACGACGAGAACUCCCACGACAACCGAAAGCAUAACCAUGCCAACCACUACCACGAUGUCAACAGCUACUGCAACGGCUACAACUCCCACGAUAACCGGAACAACCACCACCCUGACAAGUACCACGAUGUCAACUACUACUGAAACGACAACAACUCCCACGACAACCGGAACCACCACCAUGCCGACGACUGCCGCGACGUCAACCACUACUGCAACGACUACAACUCCAACGACAACCGGAACCACCACCAUGCCGACCACUGCCGCGAUGUCAAGAGCUUCUGCAACGGCUACAACUCCCACGACAACCCAAAGCACAACAGCUCCAACCACUACCGCGACGUCAACUACUACUGCAAUGACUACAACUCCCACGACAACCGGAACCACCACCAUGCCGACCACUGCCGUGACGUCAACCACUACUGCAACGAAUACAACUCCCACGACAACCGGAACCACCACCAUGUCGACCACUGCCGCGACGUCAACCACUACUGCAACGACUACAACUCCAACGACAUCCGGAACCACCACCAUGCCGACCACUGCCGCGAUGUCAACAGCUACUGCAACGGCUACAACUCCCACGACAACCCAAAGCACAACAGCUCCAACCACUUCUGCGACGUCAACUACUACAGCAACGACAACAACUCCCACGACAACCCAAAGCACAACAGCUCCAACGACUACCACGACGUCAACUACUACUGCAACGACUACAACUCCCACGACAACCGGAACCACCACCAUGCCGACCACUGCCGUGACGUCAACCACUACUGCAAAGAAUACAACUCCCACGACAACCAGAACCACCACCAUGUCGACCACUGCCGCGACGUCAACCACUACUGAAACGACCACAACUCCCAUGACAACCGAAACCACCACCAUGCCGACCACUGCCGCGACGUCAACAGCUACAGCAACGACAACAACUCCCACAACAACCGAAAGCAUAACCACACCAACCACUACCGCGACGUCAACAGCUGCAGCAAUGACAACAACUCCCACGACAACCGAAAGCAUAACCAUGCCAACCACUGCCACGACGUCAACUACUACAGCAACGACAACAACUCCCACGACAACUGAAAGCAUAACCACGCCAACCAGUACCGCGAGAUCAACUACUCCCGCAACGACUACAACUCCCACGACAACCGGAACCACCACCAUGCCGGCCACUGCCGCGAUGUCAACAGCUACUGCAACGACUACAACUCACACGACAACCGGAACCACCACCACGCCGACCACUGCUGCGGCAUCACCGAAUACCGCGACUUCAACUACUACUGAAACGACUAGAACUCCCACGACAACCGAAACAACCACCACCCUGACAAGUACCACGACAUCAACAGCUACUCCAACGACUACAACUCCCACGACAACCGAAACCACCACCAUGCCGACCACUGCCGCGACGUUAACUACUACUGCAACGACGAGAACUCCCACGACAACCGAAAGCAUAACCACGACAACCACUACCGCGACGUCAACUACUACUGCAACUACUACAACUCCCACGAUAACCGGAACCACCACCACGCCGACCACUGCUGCGGCAUCACACACUACCGCGACUUCAACUACUACUGAAAUGACUAGAACUCCCACGACAACCGAAACAACCACCACCCUGACAAGUACCACGAUGUCAACCACUACUGCAACGACUACAACUCCCACAACAACCGGAACCACCACCAUGCCGACCACUGCCGCGAUGUCAACAGCUUCUGCAAUGGCUACAACUCCCACGACAACCCAAAGCACAACAGCUCCAACCACUACCGCGACGUCAACUACUACUGCAACGAAUACAACUCCCACGACAACCGGAACCACCACCAUGCCGACCACUGCCGCGAUGUCAACAGCUACUGCAACGGCUACAACUCCCACGACAACCCAAAGCACAAUAGCUCCAACCACAACCGCGACGUCAACUACGACUGCAACGACAACAACUCCCACGACUACCGAAAGCAUAACCACGCCAACCACUACCGCGACAUCAACAGCUACAGCAACGACAACUCCCACAACAACCGAAAGCAUAACCACGCCAACCACUACCACGACGUCAACUACUACUGCAACGACUACAACUCCCACGACUACCGAAACCACCACCACCACGCCGACCACUGCCGCGGCGUCAACUACUACUGAAACGACUACAACUCCCACGACAACCGACACCACCACCUCCACGCCGACCACUGCUGCGGCAUCACCCACUACCGCGACUUCAACUACUACUGAAAUGACUAGAACUCCCACGACAACCGAAAGAACCACCACCCUGACAAGUACCACGAUGUCAACCACUACUGAAACGACUACAACACCCACGACAACUGAAAGCACAACCACUCCGACCACCACCGUGACGUCAACUACUACUGAAACGACUACAACUCCAAAGGCAAUUGAAACCAUAUCUACUCUGAUCACAACAGUGAUAUCAGAUACUACAGAAAUGACUACAACGACAAUGACAACCGAAACCACAACCACCACAACCACUCCGACCACUACCACGACGUCAACUACUACUGAAAUGAUUAAAACUCCUAAGUCAAUUGAAACCACAACCAUUCCGAUUGAAAACAGUACUCCUCCGACAACUGCCACGUCAUCUAAAACUGAAACCAGUAGCACUCUGAUCACUACUGCAACAUCACCUACAACUGGAUCAUCAGCAAUGCUUCCAGCAUUGACAACAACUCCGACCACUACAGUUACACCAACAACAGUUUCCAUGGCCCAGGAAACCAUAACUGCCUUAACUGCUCUGACAAAUGCAGCAGCAGGUGGAAAUUCUGUAGCCACAAGUUUCCCUGGAUUUACAAGUGCUGCAUCCACAUAUAUAGCGACAAAACUGCCAUCAGAUGCAGUGCAGACGACAAAUAUGUUAACAGCUACUCUUGCCCCAGAAACAGCAUCCUCCACAAGGUCUCAAACCCAGGGAUCAGCGCGUCUCGUCAUCCUCCUGACGUUUGAAAAUGCAAAUCCAUUGCUCAAUGAGAGUGGCGUGCUGAAUGCAACAAACACUUUCUUGGACUCGCGACUCACGGCCUCGAACAGCUCGCAGAGGCUCCAGAGUUACACUUAUAAAGGUGAGUUUGCCGACACUGUACGCCACUCCUCAUGUCCCCGAUUUCGCCUUUUCCUUGGCGGCCGGCUGCAAAACGUGUACGUGGGGCAGGAAAGCAGUUUUAUGCUAUUGCUAUUUUUUGCACAAGUCUCAGGCCCGGGAGUCAGCGUGUUUCAGCGCUCACCGGAAUCUGAUUAACUGAACGUCAUGGAAACGCAUUAACGAUGCCGGGCUCUCCCUCUCUCUUCCUCCUAGCACAGCUCCGGAAAGUACGGUGUUAGCCGUGCACCUUGCACCCAGAACAGGUGUUCCACCUGUACUGCUUCAAGUAGCGUAAAGCAAGGCUCAACAUUGUAUUUCCGCUGUUCUUCUAGAGGUGUCCAACAGCUCCUUUGUGCUCAACUUUACCUUCUCGAUGGGGAACGUCACCAUCUCUCCGAAUGAUCAGGUCAUGAAUGCCACUUACAGCCAGAUCCAGGACACCAUCAAUACUCUGGUGAGGUCGCCAGUCAUCGCAGAGGACAUAGGAGCCGCGCACAUGUUCACACUCCGUCUUGGCGCUACAGCGAAUGUAGCAGCAGCUAUACUUUUGCUAUUCCCUGAAUAUGGCAAGGCAGUAGUUUUCACGCGUUUGCGUAGCUCUCGUAGGCUUCUAAGGCCGAUUCUUGCCUAACCCGUCAUCUCGUUUUCUCUCUCGUUGGAUGUUCAAACCCCAGAUGAACAGAAUGCUGAACAGUCAACCAGCAACUCCCGUCGUCUUUCCACGGGCAAAUUUCACGUAAGUCACGUUCUCCCGGUGGCAAGCUAAAUGCGAAGUGGCAAAAAUG
This is a long non-coding RNA of Scleropages formosus (Asian bonytongue), 10264 nucleotides long. The record is from Ensembl. Lineage: Eukaryota; Metazoa; Chordata; Actinopteri; Osteoglossiformes; Osteoglossidae.